AACCCUGUGUUACUUAAGUCAAUUGGAAUAUGUGAUGAUAGAGUAUGAGUUUCUUAUUCUUGAUAUCAUUGUUGCUUGGAGAAUUUAUUUCAAAAUAUUCAAAUUUCUAGCUACCAUCCUCAGUGUUUUAUAUGCCUGAUAAAACUGAAAAUAUUAAUUAUGAUUAUAAAAGCUAUCUGCUCUGUAUUGAGUUUGUUCAAAAUGAGUUAGACCCUUGUUGAGAGAUUUAUCAUGCUCCUAAGAUCAAGACAUUAUUUCAGUAAGAUUCACUCUUCCGAAGUAUUAUUGCAUUAGAGGCAUGGGCUAUGCAAAAAUAGAAAUAUUUCGAGGAAAUAAAAAGGAGCAAGUGCUCGACAACCUCGCAGAAAAAUGGACAAGUGUCCGGC
Molecule: long non-coding RNA, 386 nt
Filed under: Sorghum bicolor (sorghum)
Lineage: Eukaryota; Viridiplantae; Streptophyta; Magnoliopsida; Poales; Poaceae
Description: long non-coding RNA (SBIC_LNC004524)
Source: RNAcentral